Molecule: non-coding RNA, 81 nt
Organism: Paramarasmius palmivorus
Lineage: Eukaryota; Fungi; Basidiomycota; Agaricomycetes; Agaricales; Marasmiaceae
Source: the annotation of a GenBank genome assembly
ACACCGUUGGUGAAGUGGUUAUCAUGCUUGCCUUCCAUUGACUGAUAGCAAGCGGCUCGGGUUCGAUUCCCGAACGGUGUA